CUAUUUUAUAAUAUUGGUUUAUAGCGCCAAAUAAUUUGAAUUAGUUAUCAAGUACAUAAAAGUGAUAAGGAGAAAAAGGUUAAAUAGGCAAUCACAUAAAUUUUGGAGCGCUAUGACGCCUGCAGGUUUCUUCAGAAUGUCCCGAAUUCUCGGGACAAGCACGGGUUCAAUAAAAAAAAUAUUUAAAGACGACAUUGGGUGUACCCAAUUAAUUUAAAAAGAUUUCAAGAAUGAUAAUUUAUUGUAAAUUGUAUGGCACUGCGAGCAUACCCCGAAGAGUUUAUAAAAUAGUUUGUUCGUAGGUACUUGUAAAUAAUCAAAUUGCGUGUCAAUAAAUUAAAAUAUUUAAUAAAAAGAUGUAUUAAUAAUCGGGUCAAUGAUAAAGACAGAAACUUAAAUGCAGAACCACCGCGGUCAGAACAUUGAAUCCCGGAUCAUUUGUG
This is a non-coding RNA of Cinara cedri, 443 nucleotides long. The record is from the annotation of a GenBank genome assembly. NCBI's taxonomy places the organism in Eukaryota, Metazoa, Arthropoda, Insecta, Hemiptera, Aphididae.